GGGGGUGAGGACGGGUGACAGUCUGGGGGGAGUGUGGACAGACGUCUGGGAGGAAGAGGAGGAGGAGGACUUCCGAAGGAAUCGAGCCGCCGCCGUUACGUCACGAUUUCACAACCAUAGAAACCUGCAGCUGUGCUUCAUCAACAACAGUGACAGUGAAGAUGAGGAUGCCACUGCCAGCAACAAGGUUUCCAUGGGAACAGGGCGCAACGGUUGCCAUGCCUCUGGGCUGAAGCAGGAAGUGGCCACCGCUCUGAGGACGCUGAGAGACCAACUGCUGGCAAAGCAGAAAGAGAAGGAGCAUCUGGCCGGCAGCAGUUGUGUUACCAAGCGGAAACAUCUGGAGCGCCGGGACCUGCAGGAGCGUUCAGUACAACAACUGAGCAGCCUGAGAGCAUCACUACAACAAGACGCACACGCUCUGAGUUCCGAGCUGGUGGCCCACCUUUUGGUACGAGACCAGCUGAGGACGAAGCAGGACGCCAUGCUGCUGGACGUCCAGGACCUCACCUAAGACCUGGACCGUGGACUGGAUGGUCCACACCAGCCAGGACACUGGGACACUCCGAGAGAAAUCAGGCUGCUGGUCCACAUCAGCCGAGGAGACGUUAGCCGUCCUGCUAAUCUAGCAAAGGGAUAAAUCAACAGCGACGAGAGCAACAAGAGAGUCACGUGUACGUCGAGUUGGAGGGAAAUUAAAACAAACGAGACUGACGGAUGAGUGUGAUGAGGGCAGACGGACAACCGACAGGGAGAAGACAAACCAGCAUCUCCAAUCAGCUCCCAGAAACAUCAAGACACAGGAAGUGGUGAGUCUAAAUGAGACGGAGAGGAGACAACAGGCUGAGGUCAAAGGUUAAACUUUAACAGCCCGAAAACUGGUUUCUUCUUCAGCGUCUAUGAUUAACAAAGUGUUCUUUGAACACAUCAACUAUUUACUGUUCAAUUUUAAAAGUUAUGUCAAUUUCCUCUCACAUGCUCAAAGUGGGUGGGACGUGUUUCUAUCUGCCAAUCAAACGUUUAUUAAGCUCUGCAGGCUCAUGUCAAUCAAACUGAAGGGGAAGCAAACAGCUCAGGGUUUGAUAUUUAAAGCUUAAAAAAUUAAAGAUAUUGAUGGGGUUUUUUCCAAAAUUUAACUGGAAGAUUUCUGAUUGAGUCAGAAAUAUCGAAUAUUAAAAAGCAAGAAGGGAUUUUAAAACAUUUAACAUGAAAAAACAUGUUAAAGAAAAGGACAAAAUGUUCUGUUAGAAUUAAACUUCAGGUAAAAAGAAUAGUUGAAUUUAUGAUACAGGAAGGCCAUAAUCAAUGUUGAAUAUUGUGUUUGGUCAUCAAAUAGAUUUGUUCUUUUUCUCAGGUAAACAAACCAACAGAGCAGUUUGACUUAAACAGAUUUUGAGGUGAAAGACAACUUUGAUCGUUUUUUGGAUCAAAUUUUAUACUGAAAUAAUUUUUAGAAAUCAUUUUGUUUUUAAAAAGUUUGUGCCUUAGCAGAAAAUGUAAAAAUCCAUAUUCUAUCACUUUCUUAUCUGAAUUUUAUGAACUCUUGACAAAAUGAGAGAAGAAGUUAAACAUGAUGAGCUCUUAACUUCUUAUUUAAGUGUCAUUGUAUUUUUUUACUUCAUUACUCAUUUUGUCUGUGAUUAUGAAAAGGGAACAUCACACACAGCGUUUGUAGCACGACAACUAAUACCUUGGUUGUUCUUUGAAACUAUGAAGGGGAAUUUCGCUAAGUUUAGUUUGGAAAAAAAUGUAAUUAAAAAAGGUAAAAGGUUCAGAUUUAUUCUUCAACAGAUAUUAUUCAUUUGAUUACAUUACAUUAUUAAUAUGAAUCAUAAAACAUCAGAGGAGGUCAGAUGGACUUCAUCUUUAAUUGACGCUAAGCGCGUAAUAAUCUUUUUCUUGCAGCCACUUUCUGAUGUUUAUGUCACUGAGCUGCUUUUUAGCUCAUGAACAUUUGAAGGAUGAACUUCAGUUGGUUCGUUGACCAGCUGAGGACACAAAGAGCAGUGCCCGUUUUAUGAACUAAGAUUCUCUCACUGAUCUGUGAUAAGACGCUGAAUGUUGGAUGAAUGGAGGGAAAAUGUCUUCACUAAUAACUUUUACUCACGUAUAUUUAAAGUCACACUGAGAUGUCAGCAGCUGAAGGGGAAACUUUCUGUCAGCGUGAUGAAACUGAAGAAGAAGAAAAGUUUUUCCUUAAAAAUCUGAUUAACAAAGUGAACAGAUUGUUCUUGGUUUCACUUUGACUUUAAGAAUAUUAACAAAUGUAUUUUAAAAUGUAAAUGAAUUACAAAUGUAUUUGUGAAUGUAAACAUUAAUUUUGAAAUAUAUUUUGGGAGGCAGUCUGUCAGUUGUGUUUUUGUUCAGUGAAGAACCAGACUACUUUUUUUAUUUCCUCAUGAAGUCAAGGUUCAACUUUGUUGUCAUCUAACAUCAGUCAACUUUACACUGAACCAAAUUUUGUUCCUUGUGAGUUCAACCAAUCAGAAGCCGCCUGCAGCAGAAAAUCUCAUAAUUAAAUUUGAGGAAGAAAUAAAUGGAAGGGUGGCGGCCUGACACCAACAAGGAAACUGUAAUUUACUCAACAAAAUUGGAGCUUGGUGUCCUCUGACUCAGCAUUCACAAUAAUAUAUAUAUUACAUUUUGCACAUUUGGCAGAUGAUUUAUGAAAGACAAUAAUGAAUGAAUAAUUAGUUUUCUGUCAGUUAUUUUACAGUAAAAAUGGAGGCAAGUUGAUAAAAUACAGCUUGAAAAUAAAGAGCAACAGAUCACAGAGUGGAGCGCUGAGGUUUGUUGCAGUUGAAUAAAGAGGAACUUUUUAUGUGCUGCAGCUAUUUUUAAUAAACAGUCAUUUGACGCUGCGUGUUGAUUCAUACCUCGGCUACCUGCACACUGUUUGACCACCAAUUGUGUUGCUGUUUGAUUAUACUCAACAAGCAGUACUUUGUCAUGCAGCUGUGCGACGUGUGUGUUCG
Echeneis naucrates (live sharksucker) is the source of this 2975-nucleotide long non-coding RNA. Lineage: Eukaryota; Metazoa; Chordata; Actinopteri; Carangiformes; Echeneidae. The record is from Ensembl.